AGUGCGAGGGCAUAGAGCCCUCGCUUUUGUACACCGUAAGGUGGUGUACGAAUAAGAGCUGGGCAAGACCGGUGCCAGCCGCCGCGGUAAUACCGGCAGCUCGAGUGAUGGCCGAUCUUAUUGGGCCUAAAGCGUCCGUAGCUGGCCAGGCAAGUCCGUUGGGAAAUCUGCUCGCUUAACGNGCAGGCGUCCAGCGGAAACUGCUUGGCUUGGGACCGGAGGACCUGAGGGGUACGUCCGGGGUAGGAGUGAAAUCCUGUAAUCCUGGACGGACCACCGGUGGCGAAAGCGCCUCAGGAGGACGGAUCCGACAGUGAGGGACGAAAGCUAGGGUCUCGAACCGGAUUAGAUACCCGGGUAGUCCUAGCUGUAAACGAUGCUCGCUAGGUGUGGCGCAGGCUACGAGCCUGCGCUGUGCCGUAGGGAAGCCGAGAAGCGAGCCGCCUGGGAAGUACGUCUGCAAGGAUGAAACUUAAAGGAAUUGGCGGGGGAGCACUACAACCGGAGGAGCCUGCGGUUUAAUUGGACUCAACGCCGGACAUCUCACCGGCUCCGACAGUAGUAAUGACGGUCAGGUUGAUGACCUUACCCGACGCUACUGAGAGGAGGUGCAUGGCCGCCGUCAGCUCGUACCGUGAGGCGUCCUGUUAAGUCAGGCAACGAGCGAGACCCGCACCCCUAAUUGCCAGCAGUACCCUUUGGGUAGCUGGGUACAUUAGGGGGACUGCCGCUGCCAAAGCGGAGGAAGGAACGGGCAACGGUAGGUCAGUAUGCCCCGAAUGAGCCGGGAAACACGCGGGCUACAAUGAUUGAGACAAUGGGAAGCCACUCCG
Molecule: ribosomal RNA, 833 nt
Filed under: haloarchaeon 0Ct22
Lineage: Archaea; Methanobacteriati; Methanobacteriota; Halobacteria; Halobacteriales
Description: bacterial SSU rRNA
Rfam family: Archaeal small subunit ribosomal RNA
Source: RNAcentral